Molecule: long non-coding RNA, 551 nt
Organism: Rhinolophus ferrumequinum (greater horseshoe bat)
Lineage: Eukaryota; Metazoa; Chordata; Mammalia; Chiroptera; Rhinolophidae
Exons: 3
Source: RefSeq, a predicted model, not a curated record
CUGAAGAGGACGGGCAUCUGUCUCUACCAUUGACAACAAGUCCUGGAGACAGAAGUAGGUCUAGAGACACCACAGCAAGUCAACCUGCAGAAUCCAGACCAUAGGGAAGUCAACACCAUAAAUAACCCACGUUCUUCAGCAAAUACAUCGUGAGAGAGAGGAAAGGAGGCAACCUCUCGUUAAAAGGAACUCGAGUGAGAGAUGGGUCACAAUCACAGCGGGCGGACUGUAAUCGGACCCUGAUAGAAACAAGCAAACCAACGAAGAAGCAGCCCCUUUACCAGUGUGAGACGACAGAUACACCCUGACGUCUUUACAGGUGGCAGACAGAGGAGCAGGACCGGCUGCAGAAUGGCACACGAGAGAGGGGAAGGAAUGGGCUCAGAGCAUCCAAAGCACAGAAACGUCACUGCACGUGGGACUGUCCUCUGAGCCCUACAUCCCGCAACAAACACUGACCGAGCACCCUUCAUGGGCCAGGCAUGGAACGUGCAGGCGUGUGUGCACGUUCUCUCAUGUAAGCCUCCCAGGGACACCGUGAGGUCAGCGGC